Long non-coding RNA from Conger conger (European conger), 1127 nucleotides. RefSeq lists it as uncharacterized. Lineage: Eukaryota; Metazoa; Chordata; Actinopteri; Anguilliformes; Congridae. The transcript is spliced from 2 exons. The record is from RefSeq and is a predicted model, not a curated record.
CUUAAAAGGCCGACAUCCCCAACUGUCCCUGGGUCUUCGACAGCACGAUGAUGGGCUAUAAUCACAAAGGCUUACCUCUUCAUUCAGUCCCUCUUCCCCGGGACUUUGCAAAAGAUUCUGAAUCAUGGAAUCGGGUGAUGAUGUUUUUCUAAUGCCGUGUACUCUGGGCAGGAUAUCAUCAUAUACUGUAAGUUGGUUAUAGAGACACUACAGUAUAGAUGAUGUACUAUCCAGGGUUUCAUCCCCCCACCAGGAAACAUUGGGGCUAAUGGCAUGAAUUCACUGACUCAACUGAAACUCUCGGAAACACGUAAGAGAGUGGCAAUGAAACCGUUACCAUUACUGAGCUUUAGUAAUGGUAAGGGUUAUAUUGCUUCUUCUCACUGUCAUCUGAUGGACGGAGAGCUAACAGUGAAACCACUGUAAGUCAAGAAAAUGCCACAUCUUACCGUUUAAUGUUAUGAAAUAAGACUUAAGCUUUGAAAAUAUAUAUUGAUAUUGUGCUCAAGGAAUGAGUAACUACUGUAUAAUAAAGAUCCUCAUAAUGUUUUGUGACUAAAGAUGAAGUUACAGCCACAACACGCCUGCAUCCUAUGUCUCCUAUGCCACAGCUCACACAUUUAUGACUUUUAAGAAUUUGUUUUUCAUUUUUACUUAACAUACAUUCCCACAGAGUUAAUAUGGCCAUAGUGGACACAUUGUUUAACCUGCAUCUGAACAAAAACAUUUGCAUUUACCAUACACGUCCUUAUGUACCUGAUUUAGGUCUCUAUCUACACAUUAGCAUACACAUACACUGUAUUGUAAGGACACUAAAAAGUUGGCCAUGGCCACAAUGCUGUAACAUUGGCACAUUUUAAGCUAAUUUUGGUUUAAUUUAUCCAGCAGUAGUCGUAAUAGUAGUACUGGCAACAACAACAAAUGUAGCAGUUGAUAACUGCAAUAAUAAUAAUAAUAAUAAUAAUAAUAAUAAUAAUAAUAAUAAUGAUAAUUAUUAUUAUUAUUAUUAUUAUUAUUAUUAUUAUUAUUAUUAUUAUGUGUCAACUAAAAAAAGAAUCAAAAGUAUAAAUAUUUUGUCAUGCUUUUAAUGGUUAAUUAUAUAAAGUGUAAUAACAAACAAUAUAGAA